GCACGUGACACGGGGUGCUGCCCACCGCGCAGCUGAGAUGACACCCGUCGAACCUGAUCCAGUUAGUACUGGCGAAGGGAAUGUCCACGAGGCUGCGC
RNAcentral lists this non-coding RNA (98 nucleotides) under Corynebacterium pollutisoli. RNAcentral describes it as "TPP sequence". It matches the Rfam family "TPP riboswitch aptamer (THI element)". Rfam says of the family: Vitamin B(1) in its active form thiamin pyrophosphate (TPP) is an essential coenzyme that is synthesised by coupling of pyrimidine and thiazole moieties in bacteria. The previously detected thiamin-regulatory element, thi box was extended, resulting in a new, highly conserved RNA secondary structure, the THI element, which is widely distributed in eubacteria and also occurs in some archaea. Analysis of operon structures identified a large number of new candidate thiamin-regulated genes, mostly transporters, in various prokaryotic organisms. The record is from RNAcentral. Lineage: Bacteria; Bacillati; Actinomycetota; Actinomycetes; Mycobacteriales; Corynebacteriaceae.